This 681-nucleotide ribosomal RNA is filed under the name Ascomycota sp. RT-2012b. Its description in RNAcentral is "eukaryotic LSU rRNA". The stretch from base 450 to 681 matches the Rfam family "Eukaryotic large subunit ribosomal RNA", at positions 1 to 235 of the family's 3401-position model. Lineage: Eukaryota; Fungi; Ascomycota. The record is from RNAcentral.
GCGGUUAGGAGCUUACACCCACCCGUGUUUACAUACUAUUGNNGCUUUGGCGGGCCGUGGCCUCCACUGCGGGCUCUGCUCGUGUGUGCCCGCCAGAGGACCAAACUCUGAAUGUUAGUGAUGUCUGAGUACUAUCUAAUAGUUAAAACUUUCAACAACGGAUCUCUUGGUUCUGGCAUCGAUGAAGAACGCAGCGAAAUGCGAUAAGUAAUGUGAAUUGCAGAAUUCAGUGAAUCAUCGAAUCUUUGAACGCACAUUGCGCCCUGUGGUAUUCCGCAGGGCAUGCCUGUUCGAGCGUCAUUUAACCACUCACGCCUAGCGUGGUAUUGGGGCACGCGGUCUCGCGGCCCUCAAAAUUAGUGGCGGCGCCGGUGGGCUCUAAGCGUAGUACAUACUCCCGCUAUAGAGUUCCCCCGGUGGCUCGCCAGAACCCCCAAUUUUUUACAGGUUGACCUCGGAUCAGGUAGGGAUACCCGCUGAACUUAAGCAUAUCAAUAAGCGGAGGAAAAGAAACCAACAGGGAUUACCUCAGUAACGGCGAGUGAAGCGGUAACAGCUCAAAUUUGAAAGCUGCCAACAGGCCGCGUUGUAAUUUGUAGAAGCUGCUUUGGGUGUCGGCCCGGUCUAAGUUCCUUGGAACAGGACGUCAUAGAGGGUGAGAAUCCCGUAUGUGAUCGGUGC